This 522-nucleotide ribosomal RNA is filed under the name uncultured bacterium. RNAcentral describes it as "partial 16S ribosomal RNA". It matches the Rfam family "Bacterial small subunit ribosomal RNA", at positions 355 to 894 of the family's 1533-position model. The record is from RNAcentral.
UGGGGAAUAUUGGACAAUGGGGGCAACCCUGAUCCAGCAAUGCCGCGUGUGUGAAGAAGGUCUUCGGAUUGUAAAGCACUUUCGACGGGGACGAUGAUGACGGUACCCGUAGAAGAAGCCCCGGCUAACUUCGUGCCAGCAGCCGCGGUAAUACGAAGGGGGCUAGCGUUGCUCGGAAUGACUGGGCGUAAAGGGCGUGUAGGCGGUUUACACAGUCAGAUGUGAAAUCCCCGGGCUUAACCUGGGAGCUGCAUUUGAUACGUGUAGACUAGAGUGUGAGAGAGGGUUGUGGAAUUCCCAGUGUAGAGGUGAAAUUCGUAGAUAUUGGGAAGAACACCGGUGGCGAAGGCGGCAACCUGGCUCAUGACUGACGCUGAGGCGCGAAAGCGUGGGGAGCAAACAGGAUUAGAUACCCUGGUAGUCCACGCUGUAAACGAUGUGUGCUAGAUGUUGGGUAACUUUGUUAUUCAGUGUCGCAGUUAACGCGUUAAGCACACCGCCUGGGGAGUACGGCCGCAAGGU